GAUGAACGCUGGCGGCGUGCUUAACACAUGCAAGUCGAACGGAAAGGCCCUGCUUUUGUGGGUUGCUCGAUUGGCGAACGGGGGAGUAACACGUGAGUAACCUGCCCUUGACUUUGGGAUAACUUCAGGGAACUGCGGCUAAUACCGGGUAUGAUCUCCUGCUGCAUGUGGGGGGUUGGAAAGUGUCGGCGGUUGGGGAUGGACUCGCGGCUUAUCAGCUUGUUGGUGGGGUAGUGGCUUACCAAGGCUUUGACGGGUAGCCGGCCUGAGAGGGUGACCGGCCACAUUGGGACUGAGAUACGGCCCAGACUCCUACGGGAGGCAGCAGUGGGGAAUAUUGCACAAUGGGCGGAAGCCUGAUGCAGCAACGCCGCGUGCGGGAUGCCGGCCUUCGGGUUGUAAACCGCUUUCGACUGUGACGAAGCGUGAGUGACGGUAAUGGGUAAAGAAGCACCGGCUAACUACGUG
This 468-nucleotide ribosomal RNA is filed under the name uncultured bacterium. Its description in RNAcentral is "partial 16S ribosomal RNA". It matches the Rfam family "Bacterial small subunit ribosomal RNA", at positions 28 to 507 of the family's 1533-position model. The record is from RNAcentral.